Molecule: ribosomal RNA, 385 nt
Filed under: uncultured bacterium
Lineage: Bacteria
Description: bacterial SSU rRNA
Rfam family: Bacterial small subunit ribosomal RNA
Source: RNAcentral
ACUCCUACGGGAGGCAGCAGUGGGGAAUAUUGCACAAUGGGGAAACCCUGAUGCAGCCAUGCCGCGUGUGUGAAGAAGGCCUCGGUUGUAAAGCACUUCAGUAGGGAGGAAGGUAGUGUAGUUAACACCUGCAUUAUUUGUACGUUACCUACAGAAGAAGCACCGGCUAACUCCGUGCCAGCAGCCGCGGUAAUACGGAGGGGUGCGAGCGUUAAUCGGAAUUACUGGGCGUAAAGCGCAUGCAGGCGGCCUGUUAAGUCAGAUGUGAAAGCCCGGGGGCUUAACCUCGGAAUUGCAUUUGAAACUGGCAGGCUAGAGUCUUGUAGAGGGGGUAGGAAUUUCAGGUGUAGCGGUGAAAUGCGUAGAGAUCUGAAGGAAUACCAGU